CCUACGGGUGGCAGCAGUGGGGAAUAUUGCACAAUGGGGGAAACCCUGAUGCAGCGACGCCGCGUGAGUGAAGAAGGAUUUCGGUAUGUAAAGCUCUAUCAGCAGGGAAGAAAAUGACGGUACCUGAUUAGGAAGCCCCGGCUAACUACGUGCCAGCAGCCGCGGUAAUACGCAGGGGGCAAGCGUUAUCCGGAUUUACUGGGUGUAAAGGGAGCGUAGACGGCAGCACAAGUCUGGAGUGAAAUGCCGGGGCUUAACCCCGGAACUGCUUUGGAAACUGUGCAGCUAGAGUGCAGGAGAGGUAAGUGGAAUGCCUGGUGUAGCGGUGAAAUGCGUAGAUAUUAGGAGGAACACCAGUGGCGAAGGCGGCUUACUGGACUGUAACUGACGUUGAGGCGCGAAAGCGUGGGUAGCAAACAGGAUUAGAUACCCGAGUAGUC
RNAcentral lists this ribosomal RNA (440 nucleotides) under uncultured bacterium. Its description in RNAcentral is "partial 16S ribosomal RNA". It matches the Rfam family "Bacterial small subunit ribosomal RNA", at positions 338 to 795 of the family's 1533-position model. The record is from RNAcentral.